CGGAGGUCCAUAAAAGAGCCCCGCGGUGCCUCCGCGCCAUUCAUUCAUUUCCACCGGCGGGAAGCGGAUUUGCGCAUCUUCCCAGGUUCGAAGAGGCCUUCCCUCUCGCGGCCAAGGCAGGGGAGUUGCGCAGCGUCGCGACUUGGCGGGAGAAGGUGGGAUGUGCCGACGGACGUCGAUCUCCCAGGUCAAGGGGUCCCGAAGCCCGACCACCACCGGAGAACGCUGCUGGCGUGCCCCGCCGACCCCCGGAUCCAGCUGUGGUUCCAGAACUGCAGAGCAAAUCGAGCGGAGGGGAAAGUUUUGGAAGAUCCCUCCAGGAGAUCCCUUCACUGUGGACCCCUGGGCCGAUGGCCUCCCUAUGAUGCAGGGUGCAAGCUGUCUCUUGUUCAAGAUCCAGAGGGGUGUUAAUGGAGAGCUGGAUUGACUUCAUGGGCUAUGAUACUGCCCGCAGUAAAGGUGUGCAUUUUGAAAUUGCCACAAGACUCUGGACAAAAAAAUCUGCUGGGCAAAGAAGAGGGGCAAGGCGUGGAGGCCCAAUGCCCAGAAUUGCCCCCCCCCCCCGUGCAAUUUCCACCUGCUCCAGAGAUUGCAAGUUGCAGCAUGUAGUCACCUCACAAGAUGGAGCCUGCCACCACUUCAUAGGGUUCCAAGCUUUCAGAAGACACUGAGCUGACUUUGCUGGGUGACAGGAUGGCUUAACUUGCUCGCUUAAUAAUUUGCUACUGGGCCUGGUUCAAGUGUUACUUCAUAGAUCACUAACCAGCUGGGGACCAACGUACUUUAAGGAGUAUCUGAUUCCUUGUGUUCUGCUUCAGUCACUAAGACCCUCUGAUGGGGCAAAUUUGGUGGACCUAGAUGCUUCAGAGGGUUAGGAGGGGUUGGGACUUCAGAGUGGCAGGUCAUCCCCCUCAAGGGAGCUUUGGCAUGAUUUGUCCUUGCUUGCUUUUCAAAAAUAUUGUAAAAACUACCGUAUAUUCAGACAGGUCUUUCAAACUUGAUGUGUUGGAUAUUUUUCUUGUUGUACUGUGAUUUUAGACUGGUGAUAUUUUAUAUGAAAGUUUGGUUUAUAAAUAUUUAAGAUAAAUAAUAAAAUAAUUCUGUCCAGCUUGUA
This is a long non-coding RNA of Podarcis muralis (Common wall lizard), 1114 nucleotides long. RefSeq lists it as uncharacterized. The record is from RefSeq and is a predicted model, not a curated record. NCBI's taxonomy places the organism in Eukaryota, Metazoa, Chordata, Lepidosauria, Squamata, Lacertidae.